CAGUCGCCACGGUAAUACGUAGGUGGCAAGCGUUGUCCGGAAUUAUUGGGCGUAAAGCGCGCGCAGGCGGAUAGGUCAGUCUGUCUUAAAAGUUCGGGGCUUAACCCCGUGAUGGGAUGGAAACUGCCAAUCUAGAGUAUCGGAGAGGAAAGUUGAAUUCCUAGUGUAGCGGUGAAAUGCGUAGAUAUUAGGAAGAACACCAGUGGCGAAGGCGACUUUCUGGACGAAACUGACGCUGAGGCGCGAAAGCCAGGGGAGCGAACGGGAUUAGAUACCCGAGUAGUCCCUGUCUCUUAUACAC
This 301-nucleotide ribosomal RNA is filed under the name uncultured bacterium. Its description in RNAcentral is "partial 16S ribosomal RNA". It matches the Rfam family "Bacterial small subunit ribosomal RNA", at positions 509 to 810 of the family's 1533-position model. The record is from RNAcentral.